AUUGAACGCUGGCGGCAGGCCUAACACAUGCAAGUCGAGCGGGGUUUUCGGACCUAGCGGCGGACGGGUGAGUAAUGCGUAGGAAUCUACCCAACUCUACGGAAUAACUCAGGGAAACUUGUGCUAAUACCGUAUACGCCCUUCGGGGGAAAGAUUUAUCGGAGUUGGAUGAGCCCGCGUUGGAUUAGCUAGUUGGUGGG
This 200-nucleotide ribosomal RNA is filed under the name uncultured bacterium. Its description in RNAcentral is "partial 16S ribosomal RNA". It matches the Rfam family "Bacterial small subunit ribosomal RNA", at positions 30 to 256 of the family's 1533-position model. The record is from RNAcentral.